Long non-coding RNA from Peromyscus maniculatus bairdii (prairie deer mouse), 296 nucleotides. RefSeq lists it as uncharacterized. Lineage: Eukaryota; Metazoa; Chordata; Mammalia; Rodentia; Cricetidae. The record is from RefSeq and is a predicted model, not a curated record.
CAGAGACAGAUGAAGGAGUGAGAGGGAGAAAGAGGAGAGUGGAAAAGGCAGAAUGCAUUUACAGGGUCUCAGGUAGUCCAAGUUUGCCUCAAACUUACUAUCAAGGCAAGGAUGACAUUGAAUUCUUAAUUUUCCUGACUCUACCUUUCAAUUUCUGGUUUGCAGAUAUCUGUAUGAAGUACUUAAAUGUAAUUUAUGCGUGUGCUGAUAUGUUUUUUCAUCAAUUUGACAAAAGCUAGAGUCCUCCAGGAAGAGGGAACCUCAGCUGAGAAAAUGUGUCCAUCAGAUUGCCCUGU